GAGAAGAUGGCUGAGAGGUUAAAAGCGUCAAUUUGCUAAAGAUGGCUGAGAGGUUAAAAGCGUCAAUUUGCUAAAUUGUUAUGUUACUUAACUUUAAAAAGUAAUAUCAUAGGUUCGAAUCCUAUUCUUUUCA
Molecule: transfer RNA, 133 nt
Filed under: Deltalsia parasitica
Lineage: Eukaryota; Rhodophyta; Florideophyceae; Ceramiales; Rhodomelaceae
Description: tRNA-Ser
Rfam family: tRNA (bases 36-133)
About the family: Transfer RNA (tRNA) molecules are approximately 80 nucleotides in length. Their secondary structure includes four short double-helical elements and three loops (D, anti-codon, and T loops).
Source: RNAcentral